This 128-nucleotide small nucleolar RNA is filed under the name Aotus nancymaae (Ma's night monkey). Its description in RNAcentral is "Small nucleolar RNA SNORA40 (ENSANAG00000003811.1)". It matches the Rfam family "Small nucleolar RNA SNORA40". Rfam says of the family: The snoRNA ACA 40 belongs to the H/ACA family of snoRNAs and guides the pseudouridylation of 28S rRNA subunit at position U4565. NB This family has a high threshold value to exclude a large number of closely related sequences that do not appear to have conserved H and ACA boxes, and may be pseudogenes. Lineage: Eukaryota; Metazoa; Chordata; Mammalia; Primates; Aotidae. The record is from Rfam by way of RNAcentral.
UGCACUUGUGCGUGCUUUUGCUUAACUUGUGGAUAAAGUCUUACAGACAGGUGCAAAAAAUAAAUCUUCUUUUGCAACCCAGAACUCAUUGUUCAGUAUGAGUUUUGAUACAUAUAUAAGGGGAUAUU